GUCCACGCCGUAACGAUGGGUGCUAGACGUUGGCGGGCUUGCUCGUCAGUCUCGCAGCUAACGCGUUAAGCACCCCGCCUGGGGAGUACGGCCGCAAGGUUGAAACUCAAAGGAAUUGACGGGGCCCGCACAAGCGGUGGAGCAUGUGGUUCAAUUCGACGCAACGCGCAGAACCUUACCAGCCCUUGACAUGUGACUCGCCGGGACCAGAGACGGUCCCUUCGGUUCGGCCGGAGUCAACACAGGUGCUGCAUGGCUGUCGU
This 263-nucleotide ribosomal RNA is filed under the name uncultured bacterium. RNAcentral describes it as "partial 16S ribosomal RNA". It matches the Rfam family "Bacterial small subunit ribosomal RNA", at positions 793 to 1055 of the family's 1533-position model. The record is from RNAcentral.